Molecule: ribosomal RNA, 301 nt
Filed under: uncultured bacterium
Lineage: Bacteria
Description: partial 16S ribosomal RNA
Rfam family: Bacterial small subunit ribosomal RNA
Source: RNAcentral
CAGCAGCCACGGUAAUACGAAGGGUGCAAGCGUUACUCGGAAUUACUGGGCGUAAAGCGUGCGUAGGUGGUGGUUUAAGUCCGUUGUGAAAGCCCUGGGCUCAACCUGGGAAUGGCAGUGGAUACUGGCAAGCUAGAGUGUGUCAGAGGAUGGUGGAAUUCCCGGUGUAGCGGUGAAAUGCGUAGAGAUCGGGAGGAACAUCAGUGGCGAAGGCGGCCACCUGGGACAACACUGACGCUGAGGCACGAAAGCGUGGGGAGCAAACAGGAUUAGAUACCCCCGUAGUCCCUGUCUCUUAUCC